UUUUUCGUGGGGGAUAACGUAGGGAAACUUACGCUAAUACCGCAUACGACCUACGGGUGAAAGCAGGGGACCUUCGGGCCUUGCGCGAUUGAAUGAGCCGAUGUCGGAUUAGCUAGUUGGCGGGGUAAAGGCCCACCAAGGCGACGAUCCGUAGCUGGUCUGAGAGGAUGAUCAGCCACACUGGAACUGAGACACGGUCCAGACUCCUACGGGAGGCAGCAGUGGGGAAUAUUGGACAAUGGGCGCAAGCCUGAUCCAGCCAUACCGCGUGGGUGAAGAAGGCCUUCGGGUUGUAAAGCCCUUUUGUUGGGAAAGAAAUCCAGCUGGCUAAUACCCGGUUGGGAUGACGGUACCCAAAGAAUAAGCACCGGCUAAGUGCGUGCCAGCAGCCGCGGUAAUACGAAGGGUGCAAGCGUUACUCGGAAUUACUGGGCGUAAAGCGUGCGUAGGUGGUCGUUUAAGUCCGUUGUGAAAGCCCUGGGCUCAACCUGGGAACUGCAGUGGAUACUGGGCGACUAGAAUGUGGUAGAGGGUAGCGGAAUUCCUGGUGUAGCAGUGAAAUGCGUAGAGAUCAGGAGGAACAUCCAUGGCGAAGGCAGCUACCUGGACCAACAUUGACACUGAGGCACGAAAGCGUGGGGAGCAAACA
This 649-nucleotide ribosomal RNA is filed under the name bacterium UNS9. RNAcentral's name for it is "bacterial SSU rRNA". It matches the Rfam family "Bacterial small subunit ribosomal RNA", at positions 130 to 774 of the family's 1533-position model. The record is from RNAcentral.